CACAAGUCACUUUGUCUCUUGCCUUGAAUAAAAAUAAAAUCAGCAACAUACAGACUACAAUUGAGGAAAUAGUUAACCUGUUCUUCAGCUAUGUGGAUCCUCAAAAUAUUCUCAGAUUGGAGAAAGGUAACACUGAAGCAUGACUCUAAAGCUUGUUUUGGUUACCCAGCAUGACUCUUUCAUGAAGGGAGUGACUGCCAAUUUGUUCUACACCAUCAUAUGGGACUUGCUCCAAAAUCUUAAAAGAGACAUUCUGAAACAGACUGCAAAGUGCUCAGAUUCAACCCCUGUCAAGGGGCAACAAAAAGAAAUUCACCGUAUCUGUACACAGUUUUCAAAAGGGAAUCCACAAGAAAGUGAGAAAGCUAGCAGAAGGGGACAAAAAAAUAUAUUUGAAAGCAGCAUGGAAACUAGUAGAAGUUUAAAUCAAAAGCAUUCCACCUGUCAAUAAAGACUUGAGAAAUGGCAAAUACAAAUAGCUAAAUAGCAAUGCAAAGGAAGCUAAUAAAUUAAGAAGGUGUCCUUGAAAAAAAAAAAAAUAAAUUAAAAAAAAAAUGAAUUUUUGUCCAAGAAAACAUCAUAAGCUUCAGUAGGCACAGUAUAAGAAGAUAGUAAGGUGGAUCAGUGGAUCACAAAAAGCAUCUGAAGAACAACUUGGAAAGGUGCAAAAACUGAUACCACAUAUAUUUUUUCAUAUACAACAGAAACGAAGCUUUGCAGAUAAUCUGCACA
Oxyura jamaicensis (ruddy duck) is the source of this 732-nucleotide long non-coding RNA. RefSeq lists it as uncharacterized. The transcript is spliced from 2 exons. NCBI's taxonomy places the organism in Eukaryota, Metazoa, Chordata, Aves, Anseriformes, Anatidae. The record is from RefSeq and is a predicted model, not a curated record.